AGACUUUCUAGACUCCAAAGUAGCUGCAAAUUACACCAGACUCAACAGACUUUACAAAAAUGGUCAUCGAUCAAAUAAACCUACCAAAAUGAAAUAUGGUCGAGACUUGAAUCUACUAACAGCUUGCUACUCAGCUGCCUGCGAACCUGGAAAAAUAAAUAAAUAAACAACAUGAAGUGGUAAAUCACAAAGACUUAGUAAGGAAACAACAACUACCAUCAACUAGAAAAGAAACACAAAAAUGCACGAAUAAUUGUUUUACAAUCUUGUGCCGAUUAUGUUGUUCAGAUAGAAAUAUUAAAAAUUCAAUUAAUAGUGAAGCAAAAUCAAAAUAAAUAACCUUAAAAUCAUCAUAAAAAUAAAGAAGUAAAAAUACAAAUUAUUGAGAACCAAGAGACGACUUCAUCUCAUUGAUAGCCCCUUCCUCUUGGCAUUUCCCUUAGGGGUAGCUCCAUCUAAUGGAUAGCCCUCUCCUCUCAAUCCUGCAACGCAUCAAUUAGGGAGCUUACAACUCGUUGAUAGCCCUCUCCUCCUACGGAUGACAUUUCUUAUAGGGGCGGCUCCAUCAAACGGUAAGUCUUCCUAAACAAAACGAAGUAACUAGGUGCACCUAACGUCGUUAACGAUUUCCCAAACACGUAUUUAAAAUCAUUUCUCAUUUCAUCGUAAUUCAUGAAAAACAUAUUCAAUCACAUAACAAUUCAAUAUUUAAAUACUUUUAACUCAUACGUAAAUGAAACUAAUAACAUAUUAUAUAACAGACCAUUAAAAUAAAUAAAUGAUGAAAUCUAGAUAAAUUUCAAAUGUUGUGUUUUCCAAAUUUUUAAAUAAAUACUUAACAUAGAAAAUGAGUAAAAUAAUAAUUAUAGCAUUAUAAAAAUAUAUGACGAUGACUGUCGUCAACUUACAACUAUGAAGAAUCGACUACUUUUGUUCUCCAACAGCUCCUACAGUAGCCAACAGGACCUCAGCUGUCAAAUCUGAGUAUCAAAAAUAUUUUCAAAACUUUAUAAAAAUUAUUCUAAAGUUUAGCUAGCUCUAGAAAACCAUAAAAAUUAUUUAAAUCUACUCUAAGCACAAAAUAAGAUUUAUAAACAAAAUUACAUUUUUUUAAAAUUUUUUACUAGCUUUUAGAGUUGUGUAUUUACCUUAAAGAAUAUCAAUAAACAACUCUUAAGAUGGAUACCCUUCUUCUUUCUUAGAACAUAAACUCUAAGUCAAAAAUUAUUACCAAGAACUUGUGAAAAUACGAGGAAGCUUGUUUAGGGAAUGUAUAUCAUUUCCAUGAGUUUAUUGUCACUUUAAAUGAGAGGAAGAAAAAAAAGAA
RNAcentral lists this long non-coding RNA (1327 nucleotides) under Cicer arietinum (chickpea). RNAcentral describes it as "long non-coding RNA (CARI_LNC000387)". Lineage: Eukaryota; Viridiplantae; Streptophyta; Magnoliopsida; Fabales; Fabaceae. The record is from RNAcentral.